This 4809-nucleotide unclassified non-coding RNA is filed under the name Polistes dominula (European paper wasp). Its description in RNAcentral is "tubby-related protein 4, transcript variant X1". Lineage: Eukaryota; Metazoa; Arthropoda; Insecta; Hymenoptera; Vespidae. The record is from RNAcentral.
AUAAUAAUUGAAAUAUCGUUUCUUCAAAACUUCAUUUGACGACCAAAACAUUUUGAGGAUAAUAAAAAAAAAUGUGUAUAAUCUUUUUAAUAAUAUCAUUGAUUUAAUCGAUCGAUAAGAAUUUGCUUGCAUUUAUAUAUGUGUAUAAAAAAUAUAUAUAUAUAUAUAUAUAUAUAUAUAUAUAUAUAUAUAUAUGUAUAAUAAAUAAUAGAAAUAAUAAUAAAAAAAGAACAUUAGAAUUGGCCCGUUUCCUGGGUGACCACGCGAGAUUAUCGAUCGCGGAUCCUUGAACGGUCAUGAAAGGAGGAAGGUCGAUUUUUCAUUGGACUAGCGUGUCCAUUGGUGUUGUUGGAUCAAAGUGGUCGAAGUCUAGGAUCAUUUUUGGUGUUAGUAUCGUUUGACCGAUUGUACAAGAAGAGAAAGAAAACCUAAACUACAAUUAUCAUGCAUCUACAUUUUGAGAAGAACAAUAACGCCAAGUGCGAUUGUAAUAUCUUAUCCCUCAGUUGGAUGGGCAAAGUACCGGACGAGUCACCUGAGGACGAAGGAUGGAAGCUUGACCGUACAAAUUACUAUCAGGAAGGUUGGUUAGCUACCGGGAAUGCUCGUGGUCUUGUCGGUGUGACAUUUACUACUUCGCAUUGUCGUACCAGAGCUGCUGAACUUCCCUUACGAGCAAACUACAACCUUCGUGGUCAUCGUAGCGAAGUAAUAUUCGUGAAAUGGAACGAACCCUAUCAGAAGUUAGCAUCGUGUGAUAGUUCAGGCGUAAUCUUCGUUUGGAUAAAAUAUGAAGGAAGAUGGAGUAUAGAAUUAAUAAACGAUAGGAACACCCCAGUAACACAUUUCUCUUGGUCCCACGACGGUCGUAUGGCUCUUAUAUGUUACCGGGAUGGUUUCGUACUAGUUGGCAGUGUUGGUGGACAAAGAUAUUGGUCGUCAAUGCUGAACGGUAAAGCAACGAUAACUUGCGGAAUUUGGACACCGGAUGACCAACAGGUUUAUUUUGGAACAACGGCCGGACAAUUGAUUGUGAUGGAUGUUCAUGGUGCAAUGGUAUCGGAGGUACAAUUAGGAGCAGGUGUAACAUCAAUGGCAUGGAGUGCUGAAAAAUUUACAAUGGAAGAAGGUGACGAAGAUUUUACUAGCGAUAGAUCAAGAAGAGACGAACGUAAUUACGUGUUAGCUGUUUGCCUCGCCGACGGUAACAUAGUCAUGUUACGUUCAUUCGACGACGUAUCACCGAUCACUAUAUUUACGAAUCUAAAAACACCAUUACACGCAGAAUGGAGUAAUUCGAGAAAGCUCUUAGCAAUAGCAGGAACUAAAGAAUCGGAUUCUCUAGUUCAAAACAAUUUCCAAGAAUAUACGAAUCUAUUAAAAUUUUAUUCGGUGAACGGUACUCUAGUUUACACAACGGCGAUUCCAUACACGCAGUGCCCUGUAUCGGCGUUAACCUGGGGUCAUAACGACAGAAGACUAUUCGUAGCAACUGGUGCAAGAGUACAUGCGGCAUGGGUGUCCAGGAGGGUCGGUUCGUUGCAGUUGCUAUCUAGAUUAGCAGUGAGGGCUGCCCUCACGAGAGAGUCCAGUGUCCAACAACUUCCUUUGCCACCGAGAUUAAGAGCAUCGGUAGCUGCAUUGUUCGCCAGUACAAUACGAUGUCCAGUACCAGAACCAAGAGAAUUAAGACGUUUUGUAUCAAGGCCACCACCUGGAAGUGGAAGAUUACAUUGUACAAUGCUUAGACAUGCUAUAGAACCUAUACCUUGUUAUACAUUAUAUUUAGAAUAUCUAGGUGGACUUGUGCCAUUAUUGAAAGGACGAAGAACUAGUAAAAUUAGACCAGAAUUUGUAAUAUUCGAUCCUCAGAAUCAAGAUACUUUGCAAUUAUUCGAAGAUGUUUCACAAUGUCCUUCGUUCAGUGAUGGCUCUGAUACGGAAAGGGAUACUGCUGAUUUGUGUAGUUCACCGAGAAAUCGUCGAAAAAAUAGAAGAAAAAGGGAAGAAAAAAGUAUAGAAGAAAGUGACGAUUUAACAUACGUCGACACUUUACCUGAGCACGCAAGACUGGUCGAAGUUACUUCGAAUAUCUGGGGCACGAAAUUUAAAUUCCAUGGAUUGGCUGAUUCUGUACCAGCUAACUUAGGUCAAGUUACUUAUCGAACAUCAUUGUUACAUUUACAACCAAGACAAAUGACAUUGGUGAUUACGGAAUUGAGAGAUGAUUUACCUGCAGGUCCAGAUCCAAGUUUCAACCCAAAUCUUUUUUCCGAGGAUGAGGAAGAAACAUUUCAGGAUCUUCAAGGAACUUCUAGAACGACAUCGGAAACCCAGCCACCACCAAUAGCUCCGAUGACACCGCGUAACGCACGACUGAAUUCAAAUCGUCCAAAAUCUCAGAUCUCAAAUCAAUUUUUAACCACAGAAGCCUUACCUGCCUCAUUGGCACGCGUUGAAAGUUAUGAAAACGAAUUUCCUUAUGUAGAUCUACAAGAGAUGACGAAUUUGUACGAGAAUAUACGAAGUGCACCUACAAAUACCUAUCGCACACCACCGAGACAUAAUCCACCAAGAUGUUGCGACGUUCCGGCUUUACAAUCGCCUAAAAAUGCAGUUGCACCGACACAAACAUUGAUAGCUACGUCGAACAAUGGUACAGAUUACUCUAGUAAUAUUCAAAGAGUUAAAACAGCGUUGGCUGAUCAACAAAAUAACGGAAUGGUUACGAAAAAGGAACUUGAGAAUAAUAAAUUUAAUCAAAUAUCUCAGGAAGAUAAAACGAGCCUAAAUUCUGGUUCGUCGAACAUCAUUCCCACGUCCAUGCACAAUGGCCAAGUACCCUCAGGUGAAGCAUCCAGUUCACAAAAUUCCAUGUUAAAUAAUUUAGAGUCCGGUAAUAAUUGUUCACAAUCACAAAUGAUUUACAUGAAUGGAUUGAACAUUAUAACGUCAUGUUCGAGUAACGUCCUAAAUUCCAAUCACUCGAACAACGUGCAACAAAGCUGCCACGGUUUCUUACAAGCUAGAAAUAAUCAGAACAACGGGACGAAUUUGAAUCUAAGUCCUACGCAAAGUAAUUUAAAUCCGUUUCCAAAAAAUAAUAAUGAUUCGAACGGUUCGUCCAGUUUAUUACUUCCGUCUACGUGUUCCUAUCAGUUGUCCGAUCAUUCUGAUCACGAACAAUCAAGUUCAUAUUCGUCGUGUACGUUGGAACAACAGAAGGAAAACAAAUCUCAGGGUACUUUUGGAAAAAUCAAUAUUUCUAAUAAUCAAUCGAGUGGAAAAACGACAGAGGAACUUUGUUUUAUUGACGAGGAGAAUAGAGCUGAGGCUGAAAUUGAACAAUUUCGUGGAGUACAUAGGACAUCAACGGUAGUUAGUAUCGGACCACUUUGUUCUAACGAUUCUAUAGUAAGAAGUUGUAGCGUUGGAUAUUUGGAUUUAGUCGAUGCACAGUUGGUACCUUGCGACGUUGCCUUGAAUAUGUUGAGAAAGGAAGCACCUAACAAGAGACUAGUAUUGGUUUCAAGAAAAACGAAAAGAAGGAAAAAAAAUCGGACGCAGCAUGACAUUGGACAGCAGAGUACUAAACCACCUAGACUUCGUAAUUGUGGUAAAUCGAAGAGUUUGGACUCUAGUGAUAUAUUUCCUAGUAACGAAUUGAUAUCAACUCCUCCUAAAUUACCUGAACACCUUGAGGAAGCAACGAACGUUGUUAAUUGUUCGGAGAUAGUUACUGAGGAAAAGUGCAGUGAUUCUAAUGUUGUAGCUUUAGGUGAGAUUACCAACGAUACUGUGACUGAAUGUCAAAAGAAGAUACUACAUGGUGACGAUGAAACUUUUGUUAAGAAACCGAGUCGAUUAGAAACUUGCGCGUCUCCUGUUAGAGGUUCUAGUCCGAGUGGUUCAUUGGCAUCAUCAUUGGAUGGUCUCGCAGCAAGACUUAGAGAUUUCGAUGAGAGUCAUUCAUUACCACCACCUUCUCCUCGUCCAUCUCCAAGACUGCCAAGAAGUUCACCGAGCAGUCCAGCACCUUCGAAAAAAGGAAAGAGACCAGCUUCAGCUUCGCCAAUCAGAAGAAGACUUCUCUCGAGUCCUUUAUUAAGUAGGCGAAUACGAAAAAGUCGUGGUGAAAGUUCUGACGAGGAAGGACUUAUACAGGACGACUCGUCCUCGAGUUAUCGAGACUUGGAAACGUUUCAGAAAGCACAACUUCGUCAAAAAUUAAAACAGAAGAGUGGAGGUCAUAAUGGCCAUAAACAAGAAGCAACCAGACGAGAACUUGUGAUGCACAAUAAAGCACCGAUGUGGAACGAAGCUAGUCAGGUGUAUCAGCUUGAUUUUGGUGGUAGAGUUACCCAAGAGAGUGCGAAAAAUUUUCAAAUUGAAUUCCGUGGCAAACAGGUAAUGCAGUUCGGUCGAAUAGAUGGAAAUGCCUACACGUUGGAUUUUCAAUACCCGUUCAGUGCAUUGCAAGCGUUUGCUGUUGCCUUGGCAAAUGUUACACAGCGGCUCAAGUAACCGUCACUCCCCAGUACCUCGUUUGAUAUAUGUACGAAAUUAGAUACAAUUAGUCGCACGUUGCAACCAAAUCUCUACGAAAUUUGGAGUAUGAAUAUUAACGACACGAGAAGAAAAAAAAGACUUACGUGUAUACAAGACACACACAUACAAACACACCCACCCACGUGUCUUUCGAUUAUAAAAUGAUUUCAAAUAAUAGUCAUGGUCUAGAGAAUGCAGUAUAUAAUUAAUAAAAAAUAAAGAGAGAGACAGAGAGAGACAGAGAAACGUGUCGUCGUCGAG